This 2170-nucleotide long non-coding RNA is filed under the name Citrus sinensis (sweet orange). RNAcentral describes it as "long non-coding RNA (CSIN_LNC001898)". Lineage: Eukaryota; Viridiplantae; Streptophyta; Magnoliopsida; Sapindales; Rutaceae. The record is from RNAcentral.
CUGCAACCGCAAUGUUGUAGAAGUAGAACUCACAUAAAGCACAUUUUCUUGUAAUGUUCCCCAGUUUUAACUUCCUAGGUUUCGUUCAAUGUAAAGUACACGGAGCCUCAGGCUAGACGUCAUAAAAAUUAUAAAGAGGAAAAAAAAAUAAAAAUAAACUAAUAAGUGCUUCAUCCAUCAAAAUUUAGAAGUUUAACAGCAAAGAAGUAAGAAUUGAAAUUUUUACCCCAUUAAAAAAUUCAGACUCGGGGUUUUUUGGCCUUUUUUUUUAAAAUUUUGAUGGCGUUUCUACACAUCAUUUUUUAUUUUACUUUUUUUUGUCAAUUUAUUAGAUUCAAUUAAUUUAUAUGAUUAUAAAUAAAUUAGAGAAAACUUGUGUUUGAGAAACAUUAUAUUAAAAAACAAAUUUAAAUACUUUCAAGAAGUACUUAAUUAUGUAAUUUCAAUUAUACUUAUAAAUUUAGUGUGUAUCUAUCAUUUUCAUUUAUAUAAAUAAUGCAAAUGAUCUCAAUAUUUGAGCUCUAACUUAAGUCAUAAUACUAAAUGUUACUCAUCCAUUGGAUGCCAAAGUUCCCGUAGGAUGGGGGGUCGAGUAUCAUAUCUAAUUUUACCCUGUUUUAUUAAAAAAAAAGGGGUAUGGACAUAACUUUUUAUACCCUGAUGUUAAAUACUAUUACGCAUAUUUUCUCACUAUACUUAUUUGACUAUUCAUUAUUUGUUUUUAUAAAUUUUUUAAAAAGUUAAAAUUAACAGCUAAAUCAAAUAAAUGAUAAAGUAAAAAAAAAUUAAAACUCUAAAUCGAAAACAUUAGCACUUAGCACUUAAUAAACUAAUCGAAAUGACCAUUCAGUAUGAUGUUAUCCUAGAUAUUUACUUGAAGAUUUUAGUUGUUUAAUGAACUAGACAUUUACUUGACCUUCAAAAAUCUUAACCUAGUAGGAAACAAAUGACGAUAGAACAAUAUUUAAGAUCAGUUUAAAGUAGCAAAGGAUGGUCAAAGAAAUGCUCAAGUGGAGGCUUUUAUUGUCAUCUAAAUAAUACUAAUAUAUUGAUUAAAAUUAAACUUAAAAAUUAUCAAUUUAUAAAUAAUAUUUACCUAAAAUUGAAAAUGAUUUUAUAAAAAUAUUUUAAAUAAAUUCCUGCACGUUUAUUUAAAAUUAAAUAGUUAAGGUAUGGUUUUUUCCCUUUUUAAAUAUAUGCAGGAUUUUGAGAUAUAAAAGGAGAUAUAGAGGACAUAGAAAGGGAAUGAGUAUCUAUAUUUGAUAAUGAAGAAUCCUCGAUGCGUACCCAUUCAAACCCACAAUGAGGAUGUGCUCUACUGAAUAGGUAUGCAUAUUGGCAUCUCUGCAAGACACCAGACUCAUUUCCAUUUUCUAAUUGGACUUAAAUUUGGAUUAUAAAAAAUAUUGAAAAAAAAAGAUAAGGGGGUGGUCUCAUAUUUUAGUCCCUUUCCUCCUCCAAGAUUUGAACCGGAGUAGUAAACUAAAUAAAGCUGUUUGAAAUUACUUGGUCACGCCCUUGAAGACAACUUAGAUUGAGAUCUAAAUGUUGGAUCCGUAACGUUACUCUUCUUGAACAUGUUCACUCCUUUAUUUAUUCUUAAUCAUACAAUCGCACCAAUCCCACAGAUGGGGAAACCGUCUAAAUUUUAUCAAUAUUUCAAAAGAAAAAUGACCAAGAAUUAUAGAAGUCAAUAGAUCAUCACCAAUUUCACGUACCAAUUCUUCAAAUUCCAGUAGUUAUUAAAUUUUUUUUGUUAAGAACUUGAAAUUUUGAGGUUUGAAUCAGGCACUGCUAGAGUUAGACUCUGAGUUCUGCCCUUGGUGCCAACUAACUAAUUUAGUAAAAUUUUGAGUGGAAACAAGAGAUCAAGGUUCAAUCAUGCACAAAUGAAUAAAGAGAAUAUUUAAUUACCGAUACGAUAUGCCAAAAAAAAAAAAAAACCUUAAAUUACAUCUAUAUAGUUAGUUAAAUUGGUUGUAUCAGAAGAAAAGGUACCUGUAUACAAGAACGUCAAGGGGCAUGCAUGAAUAUUCCUUUUGGAGUAAGAGAAAUGAUUCCUUCAUUGCAUGAAUUAGCGGAGAAUAUGCAAGAUCCCAAAAGUCGAGAUAGAUUUAUCCGCUGGAAAGCCAAAAACAUCUCCGGCGUAACUCCAAGAUAAUGAAUUAUG